CAGGGGCGCCAUACCAGCCCUGUCAGCUCUUGGCCCACUAUCUUCCUGCCAGCUCCCUGGUGUGGCCUACCAUCUCGCCUCCACCUGGCCCCCUUCCCUCCAGCCUUGGCUCCCCUCUUCCUCUGGCUUCGCAUUCUGGCCCUGGCAGUGCCUGACCAAGCCCACCUCCAGCUCUCAGCACGCACCCUGCACUCACAUCUCUGAUGCCCGCCCUUCGCCCAGAAUGCCCUUCCCACUUUUCUCUACCAAGCAAACCCUUUCAGUUUCCUUUUAUGUCUUCAAGCAACUUCUCGUUCCCCCUUGGGCUGACAGCCUCUUUUCCAAACUUUCCUAGGCCCCUGUGCCUAGCUCUUGAGAGCUCAGAAGCAUUGAUGGCCCCACCGAACUGCCAGCUCCUCCAGGUGGGGGGUUGGGGAGGCCCUCGUCUUGCUCGUCCUUCCAUCCCCAGGCUUGGCCCAUUGCCUGGAUUUUUAGUAAAUGCCCGGGACAGUGCCCACAACUCCUCCACCAAGGCAGAUCUGGACUGGUGCCCCUGGAGGGAAGAGGAGUGCUCUAGGGAUGGGGAGAGCAGCAGUGCUGGGAAACCAUGGACCCAUGUCUCUGGGGCCUGGCCCCCCGACUCCACGAGGCAACUCCCCUCCGCCCCCUGACUCGCUCCCGUGCCCUUGGAGAGCCCAGGGCACUACCCACCUCUAGAGCUUCCUCAACUGCCACUCAGCCAGCAGCGGUUCUCCAAGCCCCCUGUACUUCACACCUUGGCCCCUCAUGCUCUGGCUCGGAUCUGCGAGGCGGCCUCCUCGUGCUUCGCGCCCUUCCAGGGGUUCCUUCCGCUCUGGGGGGAACCCGUCGAGUAAUCACUUCCGCCCGCGUGCGCAGGGCAUCCUGGGUAUGCAGCGGCACUGUGCAGACCGGCCGCAAAGUGCGUGGUGGGAGGGCAGGAGAUGCUCAGGCUAGCGAACCUUUUUUUUUUUUUUUUGGCUUUUGCCUUUUUUUGUCUUUUUUUGCUUUUUCUAGGCCGCUCCCGCGGCACAUGGAGGUUCCCAGGCCGGGUCCAGUUGGAGCUGUAGCGCCGGCCUACGCCAGAGCCACAGCAACGCGGGAUCCGAGCCGCGUCUGCGACCUACACCACAGCUCACGGCAACGCCGGAUCCUUAACCCACUGAGCAGGGCCAGGGAUGGAACCGCAACCUCAUGGUUCCUAGUUAGAUUCGUUAACCACUGAGCCACCAGGG
Molecule: long non-coding RNA, 1232 nt
Filed under: Sus scrofa (pig)
Lineage: Eukaryota; Metazoa; Chordata; Mammalia; Artiodactyla; Suidae
Description: lncRNA (ENSSSCG00070005384.1)
Source: RNAcentral